CACAAUUUCAGGUGACCAAUGCUAUAAAUAUAAAUCUUAUGGUGUCAGCAAAUUCUAAAUAAGCUGGGAAAACUGACGCUUUAUUAAUGCAAGAUAGGGGAUAACAAAUCGUUUCUAUCAGGAAAAGAUCACGACACACAGCAAUAAGAUCCUGUUGAAGGAAACAUGCAUUACAUUCAGCGGAAAGCUUACCAGGAUUAGGAUAG
This 206-nucleotide unclassified non-coding RNA is filed under the name Hevea brasiliensis (rubber tree). Lineage: Eukaryota; Viridiplantae; Streptophyta; Magnoliopsida; Malpighiales; Euphorbiaceae. The record is from RNAcentral.